Molecule: long non-coding RNA, 895 nt
Organism: Leopardus geoffroyi (Geoffroy's cat)
Lineage: Eukaryota; Metazoa; Chordata; Mammalia; Carnivora; Felidae
Exons: 6
Source: RefSeq, a predicted model, not a curated record
GGACCUCAGUCCUCUGAUCACAAAAAAGACCCUGAGUUCUGCCAACAACCUGAAUGAAAAUUAGGAAGACGGUCUGAGCCCCAGCCUGUGAGGCCCUCUGCCGAGAAGCCAGAUUUAAGACCCACACAGCUGUGAGCUGAGAAUGUCAUGGCUGGACUGGAGCAUGGCUUUCUUAUCCGUUCUACUGUGGAUGGACCCCUGGAUAGCUGUCUCCAGGAAUUUUCCAGUGCUCCAAGAGGCUGAUUCCUGGUUUGGGGACACUUUGUGAUGAAGGUGUCUUGCAGCCACUGAGCAGAAAUGCCUGGUGAUAACCUCAUAAUCUAGAGAGACGGGGCUUGCCAUCGCGUGAUCCAAAUGCAGACACCGGAUCCCGCUUCUUCCGUCUUGCUCUCGUGUUCCCGAUGGAGAGAAGCUUAACCCGAAGGAUCAUCUGUGCCUGUAAUAAAGGUGAUGUCCUAUGAGAACUGCACUCAGAGCAAGCUUCCAACCUCAUUCACAAAUAUUUAUGGAGCACCUGCUAUGUGCCAAGCACUGUUCCAGGAGCUCCGAAUACAGCAACAAACCUUCAAGGCUCAGUUCAGUUGUCACGACCCCUGAAAAGCUUUCCCACACUCCUUCAUGCCUACCUGCAGGGGGUUGUUGCCGGUCCCUCGUGGGAGUUCUCAGGUGAGCAGGCUUCGUGAGCCAAGAAGCAUCCCGGCUGCCCAGCCCGACCCUGAGGGUUAUAGCUGCCUCUCUCCUUUUCCACGACUGCCCCUCCCCAGAAAGCACCGGCCGAUGCUGUUUCUGAAGAGCCAUCCAUUCCACGACUCAGCUCUCCACACUGCCUCGUGAGGCACCUUUAAAACACUUUUGUUGUAGCCAACUUGGUAAUAUGUUGUCGUUUUCCACCUAA